This is a long non-coding RNA of Oncorhynchus kisutch (coho salmon), 1751 nucleotides long. RefSeq lists it as uncharacterized. The record is from RefSeq and is a predicted model, not a curated record. The transcript has 3 exons. Lineage: Eukaryota; Metazoa; Chordata; Actinopteri; Salmoniformes; Salmonidae.
GUGAAAUUACUAAAGGACUGUACUACAACAAAGUUGUAUUCCUCUCUGAUUAUAAUUAGUCCUGUGCAUUUGCAUUAAGAUAAACUGUCCUAAAUAUGAAAGUUAAUGAUUGACUAUUAGAUAUUCAAAUUACAUGACUUAAAUUUUAUGGAGGUUAUUCAUUAGUGUAACGUUAUAUCUUCCAUAUAUUUUCUUACUCAUAGAUGGUGAUGACAGCGAAGAUAGGAUUCCUCAAUUCAUCUGUGACGACAGUGAGGUCCAUAUGCCCCCUGUUCCUCCCCUUAAAAGAGAGCAAUUACAACCAACCCUUAAUCCAUGUUAAUCCCAGGCUGUGCUUGUGAGCCUUUAAUUUCAAAAGUUUUGUGGUCCCUGUCAUGCCCAUAGUGAAAGAGAAAUGAUGUCUACCUGGUAUAUGGACGGUGUCGGGGAGAACCGAGGUGGUUAUACAAAACAGGGACAAGAACUUCUGCUACAGAGUGAGAUGAAGCUGCAGAGUAACCUUGUGGAGAGAGAAGAGCAGCGAUCUGGCACAUGAGCUGGACAUCAAACCAGUGCAUCUGUCAAGUGGACAUGGACCGAGCAGCAGAACCCUGAAGGGGUAUUCAUGGUCUGUAGAUCCCGUUACAGAUGAGGAUGAUGAUAUUGAAAGUCUUCUUGCUCCACAAGCAAAGUAAAGACAGCGUCAGCAGCAGGGAGAGGAGGAAGAGGAGGGAGGGAGGAAGAGCAGGGCAUAGUGCAACAGACAGGUCCUCUGCAGGAUCCGGGGAGGUGGUUAUUGCUGAGGCUUCAGUAUCUUCUGCCUCUGUGGUACAAAGCUAAGAGAAUGAUGGGACAUCGGAGGCAAAGAGCAAGACAAACAGUAGGAGUCCCUGAGUCAUAGGGAGCGGUUGGUGAGUCAAAUGGAGGAAUCAAGUCAAAUCAGGAAUCAUGGAGUCAUAGGGCAUAGACAAUGAGUCAAAAGGGGGAGUCAAUAAGUCAAAUUGAGUCAGGGAGUCAUAGGGAGGAAGUAGCCAGAGAGAAAGAAGUAAGAGAGAAUGACAUGGAGGCCACAGAAGGAGAAGAGGAGAGUCUGGUCUGACUCACUGUGAAGGAGGGAGCAACAGGAGAAUAGGAGAGUCUGGUCUGACUCAGUAUGGAGGAGGGAGCAAAAGGAGAAGAGGAGAGUCUGGUCUGACUCGGUAUGGAGGAGGGAGCAACAGGAGAAGAGGAGAGUCUGGUCUGACUCACUGUGGAGGAGGGAGCAACAGGAGAAUAGGAGAGUCUGGUCUGACUCAGUAUGGAGGAGGGAGCAACAGGUGAAGAGGAGUCUGGUCUGACUCACUGUGGAGGAGGGAGCAACAGGAGAAUAGGAGAGUCUGGUCUGACUCAGUAUGGAGGAGGGAGCAACAGGAAAAGAGGAGAGUCUGGUCUGACUCAGUAUGGAGGAGGGAGCAACAGGAAAAGAGGAGAGUCUUGUCUGACUCAGUAUGGAGGAGGGAGCAACAGGAAAAGAGGAGAGUCUGGUCUGACUCAGUAUGGAGGUGGGAGCAACAGGAGAGGAGGAAAUUGAACAUGAUGGGGGGGGGGCUGAGGAAGAAAAGGGAAUGGGAGAACACAAGGAGAAUAUGAGAAUAAAGGGGAUGAGACUGGCAGUCUCCAUGGGGGUGUCACAGCAUUCAAUUCUCGGGCCGACUCUUUUCUCUGUAUACAUCAAUGAUGUCGCUCUUGCUGCUGGUGAUUCUCUGAUCCACCUCUACGCAGGCGACACUAUU